Molecule: long non-coding RNA, 220 nt
Filed under: Rhinopithecus bieti (black snub-nosed monkey)
Lineage: Eukaryota; Metazoa; Chordata; Mammalia; Primates; Cercopithecidae
Description: lncRNA (ENSRBIG00000046349.1)
Source: RNAcentral
UGAAGGAAAGUUAUACUGUUUUUUUUUUUUUUUUUCUUUUUAGGUUCUUAUACACAGUGACAGCUAGCAGAAUCUAAAGUGCUGACAUUAUGACUUAGAGAUGUGAUAAAGAGAAACAUCUAUUGCAUUUUCUGUUUGCCUAGCAUCCAGUCAGAGAUGGGUAAAUAACAAGGACAGAACCAUGGAACUCCAGCGGUCUCACUUAGGAGGCCCAUACUAA